AACGCACAUUGCGCCCUUUGGUAUUCCUUAGGGCAUGCCUGUUCGAGCGUCAUUUAAACCUUCAAGCCCUGCUUGGUGUUGGGUGCCUGUCCCGCUCCCGCGCGUGGACUCACCUCAAAUCCAUUGGCGGCCCCCGCAAGGCCACGAGCGCAGCAGAAACGCAAACUCGUGCGCCGGACCGGGCGGCUCCCAGAAGCUACCUUCACCAUUUUGACCUCGGAUCAGGUAGGGAUACCCGCUGAACUUAA
This 248-nucleotide unclassified non-coding RNA is filed under the name uncultured Preussia. RNAcentral's name for it is "sequence contains ITS2". The record is from RNAcentral. Lineage: Eukaryota; Fungi; Ascomycota; Dothideomycetes; Pleosporales; Sporormiaceae.